This 255-nucleotide ribosomal RNA is filed under the name uncultured bacterium. RNAcentral describes it as "partial 16S ribosomal RNA". It matches the Rfam family "Bacterial small subunit ribosomal RNA", at positions 99 to 354 of the family's 1533-position model. The record is from RNAcentral.
CGAACGGGUGAGUAAUACAUCGGAACGUGUCCGCUCGUGGGGGACAACCAGGCCGAAAGGUUGGCUAAUACCGCAUGAGUUCUACGGAAGAAAGAGGGGGACCCGCAAGGGCCUCUCGCGAGCGGAGCGGCCGAUGACUGAUUAGCCGGUUGGUGAGGUAACGGCUCACCAAAGCAACGAUCAGUAGCUGGUCUGAGAGGACGACCAGCCACACUGGGACUGAGACACGGCCCAGACUCCUACGGAAGGCAGCAG